UGCCAGCCGCCGCGGUAAUACGGAGGGUGCGAGCGUUAAUCGGAAUUACUGGGCGUAAAGCGUGCGUAGGCGGUUUGAUAAGCCAGAUGUGAAAUCCCGGGGCUUAACCUCGGAACUGCAUUUGGAACUGUUUAACUAGAGUACUGUAGAGGGUGGUGGAAUUUCCAGUGUAGCGGUGAAAUGCGUAGAGAUUGGAAGGAACAUCAGUGGCGAAGGCGGCAACCUGGACAGAUAUUGACGCUGAAGUAUGAAAGCUAGGGGAGCAAACAGGAUUAGAUA
Molecule: ribosomal RNA, 279 nt
Filed under: uncultured bacterium
Lineage: Bacteria
Description: partial 16S ribosomal RNA
Rfam family: Bacterial small subunit ribosomal RNA
Source: RNAcentral